Molecule: transfer RNA, 77 nt
Filed under: Salmonella sp. FORC89
Lineage: Bacteria; Pseudomonadati; Pseudomonadota; Gammaproteobacteria; Enterobacterales; Enterobacteriaceae
Description: tRNA-Asp
Source: RNAcentral
CUCAGCGGCAGCACCAGAAUGCCCAGCAGGACGCCGCCGCGCCGCAGGCCGGCCGUCAGCGCGACGCCCGGCGCGGC